Long non-coding RNA from Corvus hawaiiensis (hawaiian crow), 2501 nucleotides. RefSeq lists it as uncharacterized. The transcript has 4 exons. The record is from RefSeq and is a predicted model, not a curated record. Lineage: Eukaryota; Metazoa; Chordata; Aves; Passeriformes; Corvidae.
GUUCUUGUGGAGGUGCUCGCAGGCAGGGAGGGACCAGAGGAACCGCCCCAGCCGCUCGAUGUUGCCGCCUUGCUGGAGCACCUCGCAGACGCAGGCCACUUGCUCUUGGGUGAAGCCAAAAGUCGGGAGCAUCGACAUGGGCCAGGUUUGCCCAACAAGAACCCUUAUGGGAAACAGAGAAGUAUAUGUUCAGAAAGGUAAGGUCAGGCUCCACCAAACUCCAUGGACUCACAGAGCCCCACAGAAGAACUGGGAAAAAUCAAGGGCAGCCUUGGGCUUCUGGGGAGCAUAUUUUGCACUACAGGUCCAGAAAGCUUUACAGUGACAAUGCUUGACUGUCCCUCAGUGCCAAUCCACCAGAGUUCUGCAUCAGCAAUCACUGAGGGAUGUAGAAGCUGUUUCCAGGUUGCUGAUGUCUGGACUUUGCCACCAGGAUCAGACUCACUGGAGAAAGCUAGGCCAGCAUGUGCUCCAGCUUUCCACAACACACUGGUGGGAAUUGAGCUGUUCAGGUUCUUGGGCUGGGACUAACUCCUCUCCUGAUUUAUCCUAAACCCAAAGAGGCCUCAAAUGCAGCAUCAUGGGUCUUUCGUGUACCAGAGAAAACAGCUCAGCAGAGGGUACCAACUAUGUCCAAAGAGCCAGUAGAUGGAAAUAAACAUUGGUAGUUACUGAGACAUACUAGAUAUGACCUCAUUACCUAUAAAUGGAAGGCUUUCUAUGUAAGCCAUUUACUCAAGUAAAAUUAUGCCACAAGAAGGAAUAUGCUUACUUUUCACCAUCUCUAUUUAUUAAAAACAUUGCUAGCAUGUUCCUUGAUAACUUGAUUUAUGAAGUUUGUGACAAAUUGCUUUCUUAAUUGAAAUAUGUCAGGUUUCUAAAUACUGAAGUUAAUUAUCCCUCCUUUUCUAGUUGAAGGCUGACCUUUAAUUAUACAAUAUUAAUCCACAUAUUGUAUGAAUUAUGUGAAAUAUCCAUUUUGUAUGUAGAGGGAGACAUGUAUGUGUUAUUGUAGUGGCGUACAGUUACAUAAUUAUUUUUAAUUUAGGAUACCAGUUUAAUUAAAUACUUGCAGAAACCAAGCUUUUUCAGGAAAUUUGCAAUUACAAUCAAUUUGAAUGUACAGCUACAUUAAUAUGGUGACAAGCCCAAUAAUAAAAACGAACUAAGUAAUUAUGGGCAGGUGCUGAACAGAUGUGUAAAUAGAAGGUCUCUGCAUGGAACAUUGUUAUAUAUCAUUUUGAAAAGCACAAGAAACCUGUUAUCCAUAGCCAUUCAUAUAUGCAGUUAUAAACCGUCACAAAAAAAGUUAGUUCUUUCAAUUUAGAUAAAUCACUUAAAAAUGUGUAUGGCACUUAGGCUUUCAUUUUCUGUUUCUGGAAAGAAAGUCUAGUUGAUUGAAGACUGCUGCUCUACUGUACUCAAAGAGUCUGCCGCACCAUUGAAAUAUAUUCUUCUUUCAACACGUUUAUGAUGAGUGGGUUUUCAGUUUGGAAUGGUUUAACAGUCAAAACAAUUCACAUUCCAUAUUACAAGUUGAGCUUUAUUUAAAGAAGGGGGGAGGUUAAGACUAGUUUAGAGUUGUUUGCUCAAGUUAUCAGAUUGCCAAAAACCCAAUUUAACCUCCAAAUAGUUGGAAAACAAUGACAUUGCAUUACUACUGUGAAUUGCUUUUAGACAGAUUUACAGUGAGGGAUUUUUGUGCAUUUUAGGUUUUUUUUCCAAGCCAGUAUAUUAAAAUAUACUUUUUCAAGUCUUCUAUUUUUGUGUGGUGUGUGAGAAAUAAUUAUAUCUCUGAUGUAAGCAACUAAGCUAAACUGAAAUAUUUUAUAUAGCAAUCGUACAGAGAACCCGAGGACAGACUGGAAUCUAAGGAAACAUGAACAUGAGCCAUCGCUUUGUAUGGAACAGGAUGCCCUAAGCUGUCUAUGGAAGAUCACAAUAUCUAAAGUAGCCAUGUCUAAGCAAGGGGCAUGUCUGAACUAGACUCUUUCAUGAACUUAGAUGCUUUUUUCCAAACUGCAGAGAUCUGUCUUCCUCUCCCCAAGGUUUAUGGCUCUGAAAUGGAUCCCAGUAGCCAAGCCGGACCCUUCUCAAGCAAUACUGGAACAGCAGUAAGGUACUUUUCCUCAUUCUCAGAAAUAGUCACUCCAGCUGUUGGCACUAUGGAAAGCUGUGAGAGGCAGCUGGAGUUGUGCACCAUUCUCUUUCUUAUCCCACCAUGUGCCGGGCCAUCAUCUUAUCUGGAAAUGGAACAACUGACAUGUCUGGAGAGAGAUUAAUAAGGGAGCAGUGCUGCUGCAAUAAAAACUGUCUGGAGAGAUUCCACUCAUCUAUUUCAUUUGUAAAAGGGCAAACUUCUAAAGCAUAAAUUUGUAUUCCAAAUGUGCUAUGAAAUACUUCAGGUGGGGAGGGUGAAGUGGGGACCUCACAGCAUUGUAUCCUGCAGUCCUCUGCAGCUGAACAGGCCCCAUGGAUGACAUAAACAGCAGGGACUUUUA